CUUAACCUGAAUCUAAAAAUCCGAAUGUAAGCGUCAGUGGAGUGAUCUCUUCAACCACACAUCCAGAGAGCACCACGGGCAACGUGAAGCCACAUACUAAAGAAAAUAUAGAUUCAGGAUCGUUAACAGGAGGUGUCAUCAUUUUGAUCCUCAUCCUGAUCCUGAUUUGUUUUCUGCUUGGCAUUUUAUUUAUUCUGAGAAAGAAAGCAAGGAGUUACUCAUUUGGAUUU
Cyprinus carpio (common carp) is the source of this 230-nucleotide long non-coding RNA. RefSeq lists it as uncharacterized. The record is from RefSeq and is a predicted model, not a curated record. Lineage: Eukaryota; Metazoa; Chordata; Actinopteri; Cypriniformes; Cyprinidae. The transcript has 4 exons.